RNAcentral lists this ribosomal RNA (329 nucleotides) under uncultured eukaryote. RNAcentral's name for it is "partial 18S ribosomal RNA". It matches the Rfam family "Eukaryotic small subunit ribosomal RNA", at positions 1470 to 1796 of the family's 1831-position model. The record is from RNAcentral.
CCCUUAGAUGUUCUGGGCCGCACGCGCGCUACACUGACGAUGGCAACGAGUUUUUCCUUCGCCGAAAGGUGUGGGUAAUCUUUUGAAACAUCGUCGUGCUGGGGAUAGAUCAUUGCAAUUUUUGAUCUUGAACGAGGAAUUCCUAGUAAGCGCGAGUCAUCAGCUCGCGUUGAUUUCGUCCCUGCCCUUUGUACACACCGCCCGUCGCUACUACCGAUUGAAUGGUUUAGUGAGGACUCCUGAUUGGCGCCGCCGCCCCGGCAACGGAGCAGCGGACUGCCGAAAAGUUGUUCAAACUUGAUCAUUUAGAGGAAGUAAAAGUCGUAACA